UGGGAUAUAGCUCAGUGGUAGAGCACAUGCUUAGCAUGCACAAGGUCCUGGGUUCAAUCUCCAGGAUCUCCA
This 72-nucleotide transfer RNA is filed under the name Camelus bactrianus (Bactrian camel). It matches the Rfam family "tRNA". Rfam says of the family: Transfer RNA (tRNA) molecules are approximately 80 nucleotides in length. RNAcentral also lists the same sequence under 2 other names. Lineage: Eukaryota; Metazoa; Chordata; Mammalia; Artiodactyla; Camelidae. The record is from Rfam by way of RNAcentral.